AGAGUUUGAUUAUGGCUCAGGAUAAACGCUGGCGGCGUGCUUAACACAUGCAAGUCGAACGGGGUUAUUUCGAGUAGCUUGCUACAUGAAAUAACCUAGUGGCGGACGGGUGAGUAACGCGUGGGAAACCUGCCUCGUACUGGGGGAUAACAGUUGGAAACGACUGUUAAUACCGCAUAAGCGCACAGUGUCGCAUGACACAGUGUGAAAAACUCCGGUGGUACGAGAUGGUCCCGCGUCUGAUUAGUUAGUUGGCGAGGUAACGGCUCACCAAGACGACGAUCAGUAGCCGGCCUGAGAGGGUGUACGGCCACAUUGGGACUGAGACACGGCCCAAACUCCUACGGGAGGCAGCAGUGGGGAAUAUUGCACAAUGGGCGAAAGCCUGAUGCAGCGACGCCGCGUGAGUGAUGAAGUAUCUCGGUAUGUAAAGCUCUAUCAGCAGGGAAGAUAAUGACGGUACCUGACUAAGAAGCACCGGCUAAAUACGUGCCAGCAGCAGC
This 503-nucleotide ribosomal RNA is filed under the name uncultured bacterium. RNAcentral's name for it is "bacterial SSU rRNA". It matches the Rfam family "Bacterial small subunit ribosomal RNA", at positions 8 to 518 of the family's 1533-position model. The record is from RNAcentral.